CAGGAACUCACAUUCAGGAUUAUAGACCGGAGAUGCUUCUGUGCAAAUGCAUUUGCCAUAUCCUGUGGAGGAAAAUAAGCAAAUAUAAGGCAGGGUGGCAGGCACACACCUGUGACUACUAUCGAGAGGAAGGUGAUGUCAAAAUUCUGGGCCUUUUUUGCUUUCUUAAAUUUUUUUCCUCCCAAAUGAAAAGUGGGUGAAUGAACGAAAAUCCACUGACCAUCAGAUGUAUUUUACACUCUGCAACAUUCCCUAUUUUUGUGAGUGCAAAUUAAUUCAAAUAGGAUUUCCUUUCCUAAUGGCACAAUCAACUCCACUGUCUUCAAAGAGAGAUGAGGACUGCUUGAAGAUGAGACGCUUGUGUCACAAGGACAUUGCACAUGGACACAGAGCAGUGUGAUGGUUUCUAAGCCACAUGCAUCGUGCCAGGUAGACCCCACUGCUAAGGCUAGAAGGAACUCUAGUGAAGCACUGACUCCAAACAAGGAAGGGCUUUGGUCCAGCAACCCCCUCCCACCCUACAGCAGACGGCUGGGGUCUGGACGCUCUACAACAGGACACAGAAUCACUUAUCUAUUUCCCAAGACCAAAGAAGACAUUGGACCUUUGUCAAACUCCAACACCUGUUGGGAGAACCUAAGGAAGUGUAAGUGCCAUGUUAACCUUUGGGCCAAGAGGCAGUAGAGUGCAAGAGAUGGGUUCAGUUCCUGUCCACCUUACUAACCAAGCAAAUUUUAUCUUUUCAAAAUUCAAUUUCUUCCUCUGUAAAAUCAAGUUAGUCUCACAGCGUUAACCUCACAGGGUUGUGGAGACGACAAGAUGAUGAUGUAUGCAAAGCUCUUAUUCUAGUGCUGGUAGAGAAUAAGGAUUAAAAUGUUUUCUCUUUUUUCUCUUCUCCUUAUACAUUUAAUCCUUUAUACAUCUGUACAGUGCUCUAGAAUUAACAGAUGAUAUUCCUAUUUACAAAGCAUGUUCAGACACAUUCUCAUUAACAAUACUUCUCACAAUAAUACUGCAAGGUAGCUAUUAUUAUCCUCAGGCUGAAGAGAGUGAAACUAAGGCCAGUCUAACCCUGUACCCUUGGGAGACUGUAGAACUAUGUCAGUGCUGAUGGCAGCUGAAGGCUUCAGGACUUCAAUACAGCUGGAAGAUCCAAUAUGUAAAACAAAUAUCUAUGAUUAGUUACUCGAUUUGGCUAACAAUUUCAAUAGUUGAUCUAUGGGCUGAGAAGAUUUCUGACUCCCUCUUUGGCAGGUUAGGCUCCAAGCACCUGUUUACUGACUGCUGCUCACAAGGCACAGCUGCCCACCGCAUGCAUGUGAACUCUGGGGUAUGAUGAAGAUGCUUGUGGGUAUCACAAAGUUCUGGUCUCCUCCUCCCUGUGCAAAAGUGUGGCAGGGAGAUGGUGAAUGGUGUUAAGCAAGUGACUGGAGCCCAAUUCCUGCUGCCGCCAAGGAGUCAGGCCUGCUGGCCCUCUCCCCUUUGCCUCUCCUCUUUUACUAUUACAAAGCUGGCCCUUCAAAGCACAGUGCUCUCUGCAAUACAGAAGCCCUCGCUAUCUCUACAGUGGAGAAAAUGUGCGCCACGGGAAAAGGUCAUAGCAUAGAACAAUCUGAAGAGCACUGGUCUGCAUCCCACUUAGAAACCUCCAACUCCAAAUGUCAAUUUUCCUCCUGAGACAGCAUUUCUGGGCUGCUGCCUCCCGCUCCAGAGAGAUGUGCUUCUGGGAAAGUCAACUACACUGUGCAAGAGGUCUGUGAAAUGUGUCGGCACUUCCAUAAAAUAGAUGUAACUGAGGAUCUUCAGUCGGGCCCUCUUCUCCUGCUUAUUCCUUGGCAAAGAAUUUCUAAGAUCCUCCUCUAGCACCCUGGGCACUCAGGAAGUAAAAGCCACCUUUUUCUAGCCACUAGGGAAGAACAAGGGCUGGUGUUUCCCAGUCUGUCCGGAGAGUGACUCUUUACCCAACACAUGGAAGCUACCUGGAUGCUGAGUGAAGAUAAAUAGUGCCGUCUCCUUGGGUCGUUUAAUUCCAAGCAAGGCCCAUAUUGAUUUUGCCUCUCCCUGUACUAACCUGUUCGGUGAUGUACAGCUGAGGACCAUCUGCAUAACGGAGGGUAUAAUACUCUGGGUUUGGCAACGACCACCUAUGCAAGAGAAAAACAGUAUAUCCCACUUGGCCACUCUCUUGUUCAGAAGCUGCUCAUAAGUAAUUUUCAAAAGAGUUGCUCAAGGGAUUGGGUGGCCUAUUUGGAAUACAGUGGAAACAAAGCUUUAGGUUGUCAUGUUGAAAAAAUCAUGGCCUCAGCCUUUUGUAAAGAUGAGCACCACAAUAGGAGGUGUGCAGAACUGAGGAGGGGUCUCAGAUCCUACCUCAAUAGGGCAAUGCUAGACUUUAAGGAAAAAAUUAAGAAGUAUAAACGUCUUAGGGGUAUGGUUGUCAACUGUACUUCCUUCCCAAGACAAUGAUUCCCAAGACCCCCAUGCUGAGGACCUGCCUAACUGGAGAUCCUUCCCAGAACUCCCCUCAAGGUGUAGGAGUGCUCUUUCAGUCGGAGCUGCCACUGUUGAAAACGAGGUCCAUUUCAACCUACCCAUCACAAACUUCCUUGAUAAUGGAUGCCAGGGGCCGUUUCUGAAAGAGAGAGAGAGAAAGCCUUCAACAGCAGCAACAUCCUACUCAUGCCAAGGUUCUGACAAGAGGCCUGCCAAGCAGGGUCAAGCUGGGGCAUGAGAAUGAACUUCUUUCCUAACAGCUUUUGUUGAAGAGGAAGCCUCUCCCAAGCCAUGGUGACCGACCUUCCCUAGGGUGGGCCAGGCCCAAAGCUUAGCCUUCCUGUUGCUCGUUCUUACUCUUGAUGCCGGUGGUCCCCAUCCCUCAAGAUGUCCUCUGCCAUGCACUCCCCAGGUGCCUUUCCUUGAACCACUGCUUCUCACUUCAGGAGCAUACCUGGUCGAUUUCAAGGAGCUGGGCGUUAGCACCUGGCCACUCAAUGGCCACUUUGACAAUGUCUGACGGUGGUGGCAUCGUUCCCAAUGGGCUCUAAUUCUGCGAGACAAAAACACAGACACGGCUGCCUGGGGAGAAAGAAUCAGAAAGGUGGAAAAAGAGUAUUUCUUCAUUUUUCACUCUUGUUACAUGUUUUGAAGAGUUUGAAGACAGACACUGCAUAAAGUAACACAUGAAACUACCUGGUUUGAAUUUUUCUAGAUCAUACCACAACUUCUGCUUAGGAUUUUGUCUCUUGAGAUUAAAUCAGCAAGAAGAAAUGGGACAAACUAUCUAUCAUCCAUAGAUCAGCCAGUAGCAAGAUAUGCCAAUGUGGCACUUCAGUUUAAGAGUCAAGAAGACUCAGUGGUAGAGGAAUGUAUUUACUGCAAAUUCCUGUCUUGAGACCUUGGGAGGAGAGAAGCAUAUGCUCCGAGACAGAUAAGAAUAGACAGCCUUUUCUUGGUUGAGUGGUUAGCUGGAGGAGCCAGGCUACUUCUUUCUGCAGUCAUCCUAGGAAGAUCCCAGCAUCAGCAGGGCCCAGCUACAUGCUCUCUUGCUUCCUCCCCACUCAUCGAUGCCACCCCUUUCCCCUCAAAGGACACAAUGCAAAGCCUCCUCUGUGUGGGACGACAUCAGAAAAUGGGGAAGAUAACUGGGACAGGAAAUGCUAUUUUCGUCCCUACUGCCAAGGGCAAGGGCGGCUGACAACUCAAGUGGAGAGAGGUAAGGAUAUCCUCACACAAGGGCCCCUCUUAUAAGGACAAGGCUUUGCAAGUACCUCUGACCCCCUCCCCCACUUCUCUCCAAAAUAAAGGAAAAUAAAUCAUCCUGAGCAAGUCUGGAAGAUGGGCCCAUGUGACUGGUAUCCUAGGCAACUCUGAUAGCUUACUGGUAUUCCAAGCAGUAACUAAAGCAUUCUCUCUCCAAGGUCUGACGAAGGGAAGUCACUUGGCUGAUGGAUUAUUUCAAUGUAUAUUUACACUCCUUGCCUACAAGUUCAGGAGAGGCCCCUCUCUUAAUGAAAAAGACCUUUCUGCAUCCUCCAGGUUUAGCCAUUCACCCACAAUUCAUGCCUCGCUAAUGGGGACCACCUGCCUCUCCUGGCGUACAAAGCAUAGCUGUCGCGAGGCUAUUAUGCAUGUAUGCUAUCAAUUUUUCAGCCCAAACACAGAUGUCAGUUCUCACAGCCUGGUAAGUAUAAACCUCUUAGAUGAAAAGGAGUAAAAGUCCUGUCCCCCACAAGCCCAUCGGCCUCAGAAAGAGGGAUGCUUUCAUGACCAUUUCCUAGUCAGAAUGGGAUGCUUCAGAAGUCUACUGUCAUAAAAAGCCAGCAUUUCCAGAACAUGACAAUGUAAAGGAACUAGUUUUCCAAGUGCUUUCACUUAUUUUAUUGUGUCCUCCCAGCAGCCCCACGAAUUAGGCAGAACAGGAUUAUCACCUCCAUUUGAAGAUGGCACAACUAAAGCUCAGUGUUUUGUUAAGUGCCCAAGGUCACCCAGCUAGUAAGUCAUAACGGUUGACAGAACUUGGACUGGCUUCGGCCAAUGCUUUCCCCUUUUCCUUUGAGCCAGCCUCAACUUCUGUCCACUGCAAUUAAACGCAGCCUAAAGGGAUUGAAGUGGGUUGGCCUUAUGGCCCCCAAGGCUUCCAUAACUUCUGCAGCUCAUGGCAGAAUUUUUCACAUGUAAUUUUUAUGUGCCUAGACACACGACAAACCUCAGAAAAGAAACUGGCCCUAUCUGCAUAAUUUCUGGGGAAAAUGCUCUGCUCCAGUUACAGCAAGACAGGGAGUUCUUGUUCUAGGGGUGGCGCCAUCAAUCUCUGGAUGCUUAGAGAUGCAUCCUUAUCCUUAUCGGCAAAGCUGCUGCAAUUAGUAGACAGGACUGCACGGUUGUGAGGUCAAUUUUAAAAACUGAGAUAUAAUUUACAUACAAUAAAAUGCAGAGGGCUUAAGGGUACAUAUGUUUGUAUAUAUAAAUAUACAUCAUAUAAAUAUACACAUGCAUCUCCCUGUAACCAGCACUCAAAACGAGACACUGAACAUUUUCAUCACCCUAGAAAAUUACUUCAUACUUCCUCUUCCCGUCAAUCCUUCCAGUCCUUUAAAGGGGAAUUUCUGACUUAUCAUCAUCCAUGAGUUUUGCCUGGUUUUGUACUUCAUAUAAAUGGAACUAUACGAUAUGACUUUUUAGAUCAUUUGUUUAGUUUGGCUUCUUCUUAUUUUUAAAAUAAGCAGGCACAGAAGGUACAACAGAAAGAACACUGGGCUGGGAUAAUUGUCCCUGCUGAAACAAGUGACUGGAUUUAGAACCAAAGGCCUCAGGACCCAAUCCUAGGUCUUUCACAAUGUAUACAUGGCCCUUUAACCAAAUCUCAGUUUUCUUCUAUUGAAAGAUGUGAGUGUAGAACUAAAGCAUGUCUCAGGUGCCUUCUAAGUCUAAAAGUCCAUGAUUCUUAAGUGGAAUUUAAAAAAUCCAAGUGAGGAUGCCCAUUUUAAAGUCCUUACCAAAUGAAGUUACACCCUUCCUUAAUUUCGAUGGUGCUGCUAAGAAACAAACCCCAUGAUUUUUAACUCCUUUCUGAACGCCGUCUUUGGAGAUUAAGCUAAAGCUCAUUAGGUUAUAGCUAUUAUUUUCUCUUGACCCCAUAUGACAUAUCCUAGAUUGACUCUCUCUUUAUUAAAGUUAGCCCUGAAUGAUUCUCGGCUGUUCAAAAAUUCGUAUACAUUUUAAAGCAUGGAGAUUUGCAACCACCAAACUAUUUGAAAGAUAUUAAUAAGCCCCCAUUCUCAGUGACUCUGUCCUUCCCACAAAGCCCAGGCAGCCUCUCUGAACUGAAUGACACUCUCCACAACCCUGCCAUAGCUGAUGGGACUAAAGUGAAUACCCAACUUUAGCUGAACUAUUCCAGUUCUUUCUCUUGAAUUUAAAAGACAGAGACUGGCUGGGCGUGGUGGCUCAUGUCUAUAAUCGCAGCACUUUGGGAGGCCAAGGUGGGUGGAUCGCCUGAGGUCAGGAGUUUGAGACCACCCUGGCCAACAUGGCAAAACCCCGUCUCUAGUAAAAAUACAAAAAGUAGCCAGGCAUGAUGGUGGGCGCCUGUAAUCCCAACUACUCGGGAGACUGAGGCAGGGAGGACAGCUUGAACCCAGGAGGCGGAGGUUUCAGUGAGCACAGAUUGCACCAUUACGCUCCAGCCUGGGCGACGGAAUGAGACUCCAUCAUAAAUAAAUACACACAUACAUACAUACAAACAAAUAAAAGACACAGACUAAGGGAACUGGGUGAUAAUGACCCUGGAGAAGUAAGAUCAUAGUAAGCUUCAGAGCGAAUACCAUGGCAAGCCAAAGAUCCGUACGAGCCAAAGAUAUGGAGAAUAAAAAACCAAGAGCCUUUCAGAGGAAGUGAUUCUGCAGGAGGAAUCCAUAAAUAUCUAAAUGAACUGAGGCCAGAAAUCAGAAAGAGAUGGAAAAGCCAUUACCUGCUAACUUUCCAGAUUAUGUGGCUAUUACUUCCUAUGCUCGGGGUACCUGAAAGUCCACUGUAUCCUGCCAAUAAAACUCCUAUAAAUUAAGCUAGUCUAUGUUUCUACUCAUUGCAACUAAUACGCCUAAGACCACAGCUGCCCCCAAGCUCUGCAGGAACUCUAAAACGGAGGUCUGAGCAGACAGCAGCAUCACUAGCAUAUG
This 6677-nucleotide long non-coding RNA is filed under the name Homo sapiens (human). RNAcentral's name for it is "HSALNT0267903". The record is from RNAcentral. Lineage: Eukaryota; Metazoa; Chordata; Mammalia; Primates; Hominidae.